Molecule: ribosomal RNA, 1372 nt
Filed under: uncultured bacterium
Lineage: Bacteria
Description: bacterial SSU rRNA
Rfam family: Bacterial small subunit ribosomal RNA
Source: RNAcentral
GAUAAACGCUGGCGGCGUGCCUAAUACAUGCACGUCGAGCGAACGGACGAGAAGCUUGCUUCUCUGAUGUUAGCGGCGGACGGGUGAGUAACACGUGGAUAACCUACCUAUAAGACUGGGAUAACUUCGGGAAACCGGAGCUAAUACCGGAUAAUAUUUUGAACCGCAUGGUUCAAAAGUGAAAGACGGUCUUGCUGUCACUUAUAGAUGGAUCCGCGCUGCAUUAGCUAGUUGGUAAGGUAACGGCUUACCAAGGCAACGAUGCAUAGCCGACCUGAGAGGGUGAUCGGCCACACUGGAACUGAGACACGGUCCAGACUCCUACGGGAGGCAGCAGUAGGGAAUCUUCCGCAAUGGGCGAAAGCCUGACGGAGCAACGCCGCGUGAGUGAUGAAGGUCUUCGGAUCGUAAAACUCUGUUAUUAGGGAAGAACAUAUGUGUAAGUAACUGUGCACAUCUUGACGGUACCUAAUCAGAAAGCCACGGCUAACUACGUGCCAGCAGCCGCGGUAAUACGUGGGUGGCAAGCGUCAUCCGGAAUUAUUGGGCGUAAAGCGCGCGUAGGCGGUUUUUUAAGUCUGAUGUGAAAGCCCACGGCUCAACCGUGGAGGGUCAUUGGAAACUGGAAAACUUGAGUGCAGAAGAGGAAAGUGGAAUUCCAUGUGUAGCGGUGAAAUGCGCAGAGAUAUGGAGGAACACCAGUGGCGAAGGCGACUUUCUGGUCUGUAACUGACGCUGAUGUGCGAAAGCGUGGGGAUCAAACAGGAUUAGAUACCCUGGUAGUCCACGCCGUAAACGAUGAGUGCUAAGUGUUAGGGGGUUUCCGCCCCUUAGUGCUGCAGCUAACGCAUUAAGCACUCCGCCUGGGGAGUACGACCGCAAGGUUGAAACUCAAAGGAAUUGACGGGGACCCGCACAAGCGGUGGAGCAUGUGGUUUAAUUCGAAGCAACGCGAAGAACCUUACCAAAUCUUGACAUCCUUUGACAACUCUAGAGAUAGAGCCUUCCCCUUCGGGGGACAAAGUGACAGGUGGUGCAUGGUUGUCGUCAGCUCGUGUCGUGAGAUGUUGGGUUAAGUCCCGCAACGAGCGCAACCCUUAAGCUUAGUUGCCAUCAUUAAGUUGGGCACUCUAAGUUGACUGCCGGUGACAAACCGGAGGAAGGUGGGGAUGACGUCAAAUCAUCAUGCCCCUUAUGAUUUGGGCUACACACGUGCUACAAUGGACAAUACAAAGGGCAGCGAAACCGCGAGGUCAAGCAAAUCCCAUAAAGUUGUUCUCAGUUCGGAUUGUAGUCUGCAACUCGACUACAUGAAGCUGGAAUCGCUAGUAAUCGUAGAUCAGCAUGCUACGGUGAAUACGUUCCCGGGUCU